RNAcentral lists this ribosomal RNA (492 nucleotides) under uncultured bacterium. RNAcentral's name for it is "partial 16S ribosomal RNA". It matches the Rfam family "Bacterial small subunit ribosomal RNA", at positions 29 to 507 of the family's 1533-position model. The record is from RNAcentral.
AGUGAACGCUGGCGGUAGGCCUAACACAUGCAAGUCGAACGGCAGCACAGUAAGAGCUUGCUCUUACGGGUGGCGAGUGGCGGACGGGUGAGGAAUACAUCGGAAUCUACUUUUUCGUGGGGGAUAACGUAGGGAAACUUACGCUAAUACCGCAUACGACCUACUGGUGAAAGCAGGGGAUCUUCGGACCUUGCGCGAUUGAAUGAGCCGAUGUCGGAUUAGCUAGUUGGCGGGGUAAAGGCCCACCAAGGCGACGAUCCGUAGCUGGUCUGAGAGGAUGAUCAGCCACACGGGAACUGAGACACGGUCCAGACUCCUACGGGAGGCAGCAGUGGGGAAUAUUGGACAAUGGGCGCAAGCCUGAUCCAGCCAUACCGCGUGGGUGAAGAAGGCCUUCGGGUUGUAAAGCCCUUUUGUUGGGAAAGAAAAGCAGCAGGUUAAUACCCCGCUGUUCUGACGGUACACAAAGAAUAAGCACCGGCUAACUUCGUG